This 440-nucleotide ribosomal RNA is filed under the name uncultured bacterium. RNAcentral's name for it is "partial 16S ribosomal RNA". It matches the Rfam family "Bacterial small subunit ribosomal RNA", at positions 338 to 795 of the family's 1533-position model. The record is from RNAcentral.
CCUACGGGUGGCAGCAGUGGGGAAUAUUGCACAAUGGGGGAAACCCUGAUGCAGCGACGCCGCGUGAGUGAAGAAGGAUUGCGGUAUGUAAAGCUCUAUCAGCAGGGAAGAAAAAGACGGUACCUGAGUAAGAAGCCACGGCUAACGACGUGCCAGCAGCCGCGGUAAUACGUAGGGGGCAAGCGUGAUCCGGAUUUACGGGGUGUAAAGGGAGCGUAGCCGGCAGCACCAGUCUGGAGUGACAUGCCGGGGCUUAACCCCGGAACUGCUUUGGAAACUGUGCAGCUAGAGUGCAGGAGAGGUAAGUGGAAUUCCUAGUGUAGCGGUGAAAUGCGUAGAUAUUAGGAGGAACACCAGUGGCGCAGGCGGCUUACUGGACUGUAACUGACGUUGAGGCUCGAAAGCGUGGGGAGCAAACCGGAUUAGAUACCCCUGUAGUC